RNAcentral lists this ribosomal RNA (441 nucleotides) under uncultured bacterium. Its description in RNAcentral is "partial 16S ribosomal RNA". It matches the Rfam family "Bacterial small subunit ribosomal RNA", at positions 338 to 795 of the family's 1533-position model. The record is from RNAcentral.
CCUACGGUGGCUGCAGUGGGGAAUAUUGGGCAAUGGGCGCAAGCCUGACCCAGCAACGCCGCGUGAAGGAAGAAGGCUUUCGGGUUGUACACUUCUUUUGUCAGGGAAGAGUAGAAGACGGUACCUGACGAAUAAGCCACGGCUAACUACGUGCCAGCAGCCGCGGUAAUACGGAGGUGGCAAGCGUUGUCCGGAUUUACUGGGUGUAAAGGGCGUGUAGCCGGGUUGACAAGUCAGAUGUGAAAUCCUGCGGCUUAACCGCAGAACUGCAUUUGAAACUGGUGAUCUUGAGUACUGGAGAGGCAGAUGGAAUUCGUAGUGUAGCGGUGAAAUGCGUAGAUAUUAGGAGGAACACCAGUGGCGAAGGCGGUCUGCUGGACAGCAACUGACGGUGAGGCGCGAAAGCGUGGGGAGCAAACAGGAUUAGAUACCCGAGUAGUC